This 530-nucleotide ribosomal RNA is filed under the name Craugastor podiciferus (Cerro Utyum robber frog). RNAcentral describes it as "partial 16S large subunit ribosomal RNA". It matches the Rfam family "Bacterial large subunit ribosomal RNA", at positions 1817 to 2596 of the family's 2925-position model. The record is from RNAcentral. Lineage: Eukaryota; Metazoa; Chordata; Amphibia; Anura; Craugastoridae.
CGCCUCCUGUACCCUAUGGGAGGUCUAGCCUGCCCAGUGACUCUGUUCAACGGCCGCGGUACACUAACCGUGCAAAGGUAGCACAAUCACUUGUCUCUUAAAUCGAGACCUGUAUGAAUGACAUCACGAGGAUUUAACUGUCUCCCUUCACCAAUCAGUGAAACUAAUCUCCCUGUGAAAAAGCAGGGCUACUCAUACAAGACGAGAAGACCCUAUGGAGCUUUAAACUAGUAACACUUGCUCACUUUCCCAUGAUAUUCAGCAUAAUGCUUAUACGUUUUUGGUUGGGGUGACCCUGGAGAAAAACCUAACCUCCAGGCUGUUAAAUAUAAGAACCUCAAUUCUACAAUCAACAUAUUGACACAAUUGACCCAAACAUUUGAUCAACGAACCAAGUUACCCUAGGGAUAACAGCGCCAUCCACUUCAAGAGCACAUAUCAACAAGUGGGCUUACGACCUCGAUGUUGGAUCAGGAUUCCCCAGUGGUGCAGCCGCUACUAAAGGUUUGUUUGUUCAACAAUUAAAAUCC